Molecule: long non-coding RNA, 690 nt
Filed under: Calidris pygmaea (Spoon-billed sandpiper)
Lineage: Eukaryota; Metazoa; Chordata; Aves; Charadriiformes; Scolopacidae
Description: lncRNA (ENSCPGG00000015651.1)
Source: RNAcentral
UUUAAAGCACCUAUUAUUACAGUGUUUUUUUUUAUCAGUGCAUUACAUAAAGUUAUUAAGUGCUUCUGUCCUGUCACCUUCUUUGCUUCAGGCUUGAGUCCCAGAGCAGCAUGAGGAUUUACACUUCCGAAGCAGAAGAGUGAAUGGAAUUGAAGGAUUUAUGUGGAAGAUUCUGAAUUCUCCCCUUUCCUGCUCCAGGAAAGGCAGGGGCCUGCUCUGAGACCUCUGGGUAUGUUCCCUGUGUGCUACUGAAGCUGACUUGAACCGUGUGACAAAUGAGAUACAGGUGGAUCACUCUCUACCAGAUCUCAAGGCAAAUAUUGCUCUAUGGUCCUUGCUCUCGGCAACAUCUUCAGUGUCCUGGUGAUGGGGUGCCUUGGAAGGACUGCGCAGAACAAGCUUCAUACCACCUCUGCACUUCAGGCUCUCUGCACUGGGCCGAAAGCUGGGAGCAGGAAGCGGCUGCGCCCUGACGGCCGUCGUUUCCCCUGCGAGCCCCUCCUGUGUCCUGCCAGCUGCUCUCUGACAGCCACAUCGCCCGGGCUUCGGUACCAGCGGGCACGCCGCUGACUCCCAGCUAGGAAACUUUCCGGGGCUACCUUCUCUUCCCAAGCGAUAAGGUCAGCCUGGGGGAAAAAAAAAAAAAAAAAAAAGUACUAAUAAUAAAUAAUAACUUAAAAAAAAUAACCA